GGAGGGAAACGAAUGCAGCCAUGAAGGNUCCGUUCAGGUUCAGGGCUCUUGGUCGCGUGCGUUGGAAGUGGCGGACCCUUUUUGGGCCGUGCAAACCGCGUGCUGCAAAGAGCAAUCCCGUUCGGAGCCCGCCAACGGUGGCCAAUCCUGGGCGACGAGGGGGACUUAUAGCCUUCGGCGGCGGAGGAGAGCGCUGCAGCGUACCGGGUCGCUUCUGUUCUUGCUUCGCGUCGAGGGCAGUGUCCGGCGACGGUAAGUGCGCUCRUUCGGAAGGCGGGCCACGAUCUGCGCUGCGGUCGUUGGUGUGUGUAUGGCUCCAUCCGACCCGUCUUGAAACACGGACCAAGGAGUGCAAGAGGCGUGCAAGUCUUUGGGUUGGAGACCCUUGGGCGCAAUGAAAGUGAAGGGGGGCCCCAUCGUCGACCGAUCCCGGGCUGCUCUGCGGUGGGAUUCGAGUGAGAGCAUGCCUGUUGCGACCCGAAAGAUGGUGAACUAUGCCUGAAUAGGGCGAANCCAGAGAAAACUCUGGUGGAAGCUCGCAGCGGUUCUGACGUGCAAAUCGAUGGUCAAAUUUG
RNAcentral lists this ribosomal RNA (575 nucleotides) under Ulosa stuposa. RNAcentral describes it as "partial 28S ribosomal RNA". It matches the Rfam family "Eukaryotic large subunit ribosomal RNA", at positions 411 to 913 of the family's 3401-position model. The record is from RNAcentral. Lineage: Eukaryota; Metazoa; Porifera; Demospongiae; Bubarida; Dictyonellidae.